GAAUUUUGGACAAUGGGCGAAAGCCUGAUCCAGCAAUGCCGCGUGCAGGAUGAAGGCCUUCGGGUUGUAAACUGCUUUUGUACGGAACGAAAAGCUUCGGGUUAAUACCCUGGAGUCAUGACGGUACCGUAAGAAUCAGCACCGUCUACCUACGUGCCCGACGCAGCGGUAAUACGUGGGGUGCAAGCGUUAAUCGGAAUUACUGGGCGUAAAGCGUGCGGAGGCGGUUUUGUAAGACAGAGGUGAAAUCCCCGGGCUCAACCUGGGAACUGCCUUUGUGACUGCAAGGCUAGAGUACGGCAGAGGGGGGUGCAAUUCCGCGUGUAGCAGUGAAAUGCGUAGAUACGCGGAGGAACACCGAUGCCGAAGGCAACCCCCUGGGCCUGUACUGACGCUCAUGCACGAAAGCGUGGGGAGCAAAC
This 422-nucleotide ribosomal RNA is filed under the name uncultured bacterium. Its description in RNAcentral is "partial 16S ribosomal RNA". It matches the Rfam family "Bacterial small subunit ribosomal RNA", at positions 359 to 773 of the family's 1533-position model. The record is from RNAcentral.